AUUUUUUUAAUUAUUUUAAUUUUUUUAGUAUUUUUGAACUUUUAUAAGUACCUAGUUUCUGUUUAAUUAAAUAAUGUUAAGUUCACUAUAGAUACAGAACACAAAUUUGAUCAACAUUUUGAUGAUUGUAACAAUAUAAGUUACAAAAUAAAGUAUGAAGAAUUUUGUAUAAAAUGAAUUCCACUGGUGAUUCUGUUUCAUAUCUCGGCCACAAAAUCUUUACUUAACACAUGCGAGUGUAAUCGAUUCAUAGAUGUAAAAGCAAACAACAAACACAUUCAAACCUUCAUAACUCAAAUCAUACAUAAAGUGCAUACUGCAUACCUCAUUCAAUAAUAAAGAAGAAUUUAAUAUUCCAUAUUAAAUGAUAGAAUUCGGUGUUUCCGCAGGAGUUCAUUUUCUGUGGCUGGUUCAGAUAUUAAAUAUGUGAUCUAUUAUUACUAAACAUAGAUUGUUGGUUUUUAUUUAUUGUCUUAUUAUACUUUUAUACUAUUUAAAUGCAAAUUUCAUCUAUAAAAAUAAAAAAAUAAAAUAAUGAU
Molecule: long non-coding RNA, 539 nt
Organism: Rhopalosiphum padi (bird cherry-oat aphid)
Lineage: Eukaryota; Metazoa; Arthropoda; Insecta; Hemiptera; Aphididae
Exons: 3
Source: RefSeq, a predicted model, not a curated record